Lates calcarifer (barramundi perch) is the source of this 7219-nucleotide RNA transcript. It is a transcript of the gene named anoctamin 2b, with no coding region annotated. Lineage: Eukaryota; Metazoa; Chordata; Actinopteri; Centropomidae. The transcript has 34 exons. The record is from RefSeq and is a predicted model, not a curated record.
AGGCUUCAUCCGAGUGGCCACGGCACUCAGCGAGUCCUCCUCCAUCCACAGUGAGACCCUGUUCCACCUGACUAGGGACAUGUCUGGGAUGAGGCUGGACCCCAUGUCCUACAGCAUCAUGGAACCUGAACCUUAUAGAGAAGGUAGAGAAGAACCCUGGGCUGAGGAAUCACAAAGUCUGCUACAGCGCAACAGCAUGCAGAUCUCCGCGAGUGAAGACAAGAUCCCAGUUGUAGGUUCAACUUCAACCCCUCAGUGCAACACAGAAGGCCUUUACUUCUCUGAUGGCCGACGGAAAGUUGACUACGUUCUGGUCUUCCAUCAGCGGCGGCACAGCUCCAUAAGAUGUCCUGUCGGCACCUCAGUGUCACAAGACCGAUUAUCCAUUGUUUCCAAUGGCAACUUUCCCCAAUCGGUGAGCUCGGAUGCGGUAGCAGGAAGAGGAGGAGGCAUGCCGGGAGAGGAGGCUGCGAAUGCCGGUGAGGUCUUCAUGGAGCUGGGUUUUGCAGGAGGGAGUGAGCCAACGGAGCCGGCUGACCAUGAGAUGCGUCUGAUCAGACAAGAGUUUGAGGCCAACUUGCUGGAGGCCGGCCUGGAGAUAGAGCGAGACAAAGAGGUAAAGGCCCACGGCCCCAGCUUUACUCGUCUCCAUGCGCCCUGGCCAGUCCUCUGUCGAGAGGCUGAGUUUCUCAAGAUUAAAGUCCCCACUAAAACGAGUUAUGAACUUAAAGAGGAAAGUGGUUUUGGGUCCAGUAUGAGCACAAUUUGGAGGAAACUGAAUCAACCUUUUCAGCCCAAAGUACCUCAUCAGGACCAUGAACGCACCAAAUUUCUCUCACACUGCUUCUCCAGGGACAAACUCCACCUGUACAACAUUACAUCUAAAGACACUUUCUUUGACAAUGCUACAAGGGGCAGAAUAGUGUAUGAGAUUCUGAGACGAACAGUGUGUGUACGAACCUGUCAAACCAUAGGCAUCAGCACAUUAAUAGCUAAAGGCGUGUAUGAUGCUGCCUUCCCUCUUCACGAUGGUGACUAUAGGGUCAUCGGGCACCUUGAGGAGAGGAAUGACAGACAGGUUCUGCAUGAAGAGUGGGCCAGAUACUCAGCCUUUUACAAGUACCAGCCCAUUGAUCUUGUCAGGAAGUACUUUGGGGAGAAGAUUGGCCUGUACUUUGCGUGGCUUGGUGUUUAUACUCAGCUGCUCAUACCAGCCUCCAUCGUUGGGAUCAUUGUGUUUGGCUAUGGGGUGGCAACAGUGGAUACUGACAUACCCAGCCUGGAGAUGUGUGACGAGCGUCUCAAUUUCACCAUGUGUCCUCUGUGUGAUGGAGCCUGUGACUUCUGGCAGCUCAGCACUGCCUGUGGCACUGCCAGAGCUUCACACCUCUUCGACAACCCCGCCACCGUCUUCUUCGCCAUCUUCAUGUCUCUGUGGGCGGUGCUGUUCCUAGAACACUGGAAGCGUCGUCAGAUCAGUUUGAGCUUCAGCUGGGAUCUGACAGGCAUCGAGGAGGAUGAGGAACAUCCCAGGCCACGGUAUGAGACCAUCCUUCUUCAGAAGAGACAGAGGAAGCAGAAAAAAAAGAAAAAUAAGAAAAAGAAUGAGCCAGAGAAGCAGGAGGACGGGACAGUGACAGGGAAGGACAGAUGGAGACAAAAACUACUGUCUGCCAUGACUGCAGGAAUACCGACUGCCAUUGACAAGCUGACCUGGAAAGACCGUCUUCCUGGAUACUUCAUCAAUGUUUCCUCUAUCCUCUUUAUGUUUGGGCUGACGUUCUCAGCAGUGUUUGGGGUCAUUGUCUACCGCAUCACAGUGUCAGCCCUGAUGGCGAUGAGUCCCGACCCGGAGACCAAGUCCAAUGUUAGGGUGACGGUGACGGCCACUGCAGUCAUCAUUAACUUAGUGGUUAUUCUGAUUCUUGAUGAAAUCUACGGAGCUGUGGCAGUGUGGCUGACUGAGCUAGAGAUUCCCAAAACAGAAACUAACUUUGAGGAGCGUCUUAUCCUGAAAGCCUUCUUACUUAAGUUCAUGAAUGCAUACGCGCCCAUCUUUUAUGUGGCUUUCUUCAAGGGACGGUUUGCAGGCCGACCGGGAAAUUACGUGUACGUCUUUAAUGAUUAUCGGAUGGAAGAGUGUGCUCCAGGAGGCUGCCUCAUCGAGCUGUGCAUCCAGCUCAGCAUCAUCAUGCUGGGGAAGCAGCUAAUCCAGAACAACAUCUUUGAAAUCGGCAUCCCGAAGUUGAAGAAGCUGGUGCGUGCGUUGAAGGAUAAAGGAUCAGCAGAAACAGAGAAGGAGGAGGAGAGGCCUCCACAGCAGUGGAACCUGGACCAUGCUCUGGCUGCUUUCGAAGGCCUCACACCCGAAUACAUGGAGAUGAUCAUCCAGUUUGGUUUUGUCUCUCUGUUUGUGGCUUCGUUCCCACUCGCUCCUCUCUUCGCCCUGCUCAACAACGUUAUUGAAAUCAGACUGGACGCAAAGAAGUUUGUUACAGAGCUACGUAGGCCUGUAGCCAUACGAGCUAAAGACAUUGGUAUAUGGUACAACAUACUGAGUGGAAUGGGAAAGUUCUCAGUCAUUAUAAAUGCCUUUGUGAUUUCCUUCACAUCAGACUUCAUCCCUCGACUUGUCUACCAGUACACGUAUAGUCAGACCGGCACCAUGCACGGCUUCAUUGACUACACACUCUCCUACUUCAACGUGUCCAAUUUUAAACCCGGAACGGCACCGCAGAACUCUGGUGACAUCACUGUCUGCCGAUAUAAAGACUACAGGGAGCCCCCGUGGUCUCCAGACGCGUACCAGUUCUCCAAACAGUACUGGUGUGUCCUGGCUGCAAGACUGGCUUUCGUCAUACUGUUCCAGAACCUAGUGAUGUUCCUCAGCCUCGUGGUCGCCUGGGUGAUCCCCGAUGUCCCCAAAACCAUCAUGGAGCAGCUCAAACGGGAGAAGAAGCUGCUGGUCGACGUCUUCUUAAGGGAGGAGAAGGAAAAGUUUCAGCUCAUCCAGAGCCUCUUCGCCAAGGACACCACCCUCCAGCCAGGCAGCCACACGCUUCAGCCGGGACAGGGCCCCCCCAUACCGGGCCGCUACAGUACUUUACCCCCAGGACCCACACAGGCUGGAGAUGGAGGAGGAGGGCCGAGGGCGAGGUGUAGGGCCGCCAGCUUCAGCCAGUUCACCAGGAAGAAUCCAUCUACAUUGCCUAGGAAUGAAAAUGAGAAUUCGAGACACACAGCGGUGUGACAUAACAUACAUCUGUAGGGGUGCCUCAGCUGGGCCUCAGGACUGUGUUGCUCGGGUGAUUCUUAUGUCUUUGCCUGUGUCUCUUGUGUUCUGGUGUGUGUGACACAGUAGUGCUGUGAUUAGAAACCAUCACAGCCUGAUUUUGAACGUGACAUUUGAUUCAUUGGUCUCAGUGUGGUUGAAUGUGCAAUGUCCACACUGGUUGAAUGAAUGUGUAUGUUGUUCCUAUUUGCGCCGACUGUUCACCUGAUAAAGUGUUAUCAUUUUUACUUUUUGGUAAAAAUAAAUUUAGCGAGGCACAUUAGCUUCUUAGCGUAGACAAGCAAUAAUUACAGUAUUAGGCUGAACAAACGAAUAUUACAAGAACCUGGAAGAGACUGGAGAUAAAGACAGAACUAUGAACUAAUGGAGAGAUUCAGUAAUAAACAGUAAAUCACCAUAAACAGAUUGAUGGACAUUGCGGCUCACUGCUAGUGCUGGGGACUGUCAGAAGUUUCCUACUUUAUGUGCUUAUGCUCCUUCUGUAUUUUUGUUUUUAACAGAAUUUGUAGCAGCUCCAACAUUCCACAUUUUCUGUGCUUUUCAAUGCAUGGUACUGAAAGCACACAAGCCUCAUAGAAGAACAAUUCAUUCUUUUUUUUGACACAAUUUACUGUGCUCAUUUUCCUCCAUAGAAUUCAGGAAUAACUUUUCAAACACAUCUGUAUUGUCGCUCAAUACAUAGCUGCUGCUCAUUGUUCCUCUACACGCUACUCUACGUAUUGAUUGAUGGAUGCACAUGCCAACGUGACACAAGCUAUAGAUAGAUAAAUUGUGAAGCAUUGUUCUUGUUAGCCAUACAUCUGUCUGUACAAUGACCUAAUGACUACACUUAAUAACUUCAGAAUGCAAAGAGAAAGGCAACUCUUUUGCAAACUGUGAAUGCAAGUGAGUUAGAAAUCAUCUCAGUUUUCAUUGUCAAGGGAACAAAUACUUUAUCAGCGUUCCAUCAUUAUGAAAUACCACACUGAAUACUCUCACAUUCCUGCAGGUAAGUAAUAAAUCUGAAUAGGAGAGCUUGCCUAAAAGAAAUUCAUGGAGUCGUGCAACUUCUGGCAGCCAUAUCAGAGGUUUGUUAAGAAGCACAGACUGUAAACAGAUAUUAUUUUGUAUAACUGGGCCAUCUGUUUCUGACUGAACCAGUCAUUUCAACACUGAUACAUCUGAUAGAUUUGUGUUUAUAUAAAUUCACUUGUUAGCUAGCUAACAUACUAUCUGGUCCAACUAUUGCUGUAUACUGUAGUUGUUAACAACUUAUUAGCAUUCUAAUUCAGCUGUUGCAUGUUAAAGUCAAACUAAAAUUUUAAUUCUCCUCACUUACUAAAAAAAGGAGACAUGCUGUCAACUUUGUCAACAAUGGUUGUGUCCAAAAUCAGUCUUUAUUUUCUAUAUAGUGCACUACAUUUACCAUCCACUAUUUUAUUUGAGAGUCCAGAUUUUGAAUGUCCAAAUGUAUCCACUAACUUAUGCCCUCAAAGAUUCCACAAUGAACAAAAAAGUAGUGUACAUAACAUGUAGACUACUCUCUGCAAACAUGCUGCCUUCAAAUGGGGUUGUGUUUACUGUGUUCACAAGAGGAGUCUAUAUACUCAACCCCCUUUUGUGGUAUUUGUAGCCUUGGAUCUUGGAUCUCGUUUUUCAUUGGAUAAGUUCAUGUAGCUCAAUUUUAGUCCUAUAGAGGUUUUCAUCAUAAUUUUAGGCUCUGUGGCUUCUAGAUAUUACCACAUUACUAUUAACUAAUGUCCGGCAUUGUUGCUAUUGCCUAGUCUUCUCACAACUUAACCACUUGAGUGCCAAGCAUACUGUGUAACCAGCUCCCCAUGUCAUAACCACAAGCUCACAAGUUUCAUUUGAAGGCAGGAAUAGUCCCACAUUGAGCAUAAUGCUCUGCAUUUUAUAGAUGUGAAAUUGUUGGUGCACGACAGAACAGAUGACAGUGAUUCUGUAAAAGGAUUCUGAUAAGUAAGGAGUGAAUUAGGGAGUGAUUUUGGACACAGCUAAGACAUUUUCCCCACUUUCUCAACAAGCCAAUAUGGCAAUGGUUAAAUACUAUUAGUGAUUUCAGACACCUGUCCCCUUACGACAUUCAGCAUUUGGAUGGACUCAUUGUGAUGUUAACCUUGCUUGCUAAUCUUAGCUCUGUUUCCCACUUGACGUUAGCUUUUGUUCAUAUACAGAAAGACGGAGGUCUGGCUAACGUUAGCUGUUUCUCUUCCAUGGGUCCAGUUGUGGCUGCACAUUGUCAAAAGUUAAUAAAACUUGAAUUUCUUCUGUCAUUUGAGCAAAUACAAAAGAAAAUGAAUUCUAAUUUCAGUUUAACAAGGGAUUUGUCAGUAGACCUGAUUAUUGUGUGGAGGAGCCAGUUCUGCUGCCAAGGUAUCCUGUUGGCCAACUGAGGGGUCUCUCUAUCUUUGGCACAAGAUAAGGAGCGGUCAAGGAAAACUGUCUGGGACAAGAAUUUUUUUGACAACCAGUAGAUCAGGUCCCCGUUGUGCCGCCAAGGAACAUGGCCACAGGAUCUCUGGGACACUGGCAGUGGAUCCUUUGGGUCCUGUCGGCUGCAGGAUGGGGCCUACAAGGAUCUGGCUUUUUCCGACACGUCCAACAGAUGCAGAGUCACACUACCAUUGCCUCAAGACAGCGGAGGAGGAAUGCUUACAGCGUGUGUGCGUGUGUGUGAGGACAAAAUGAAGGUUUACUGGUUCAGCUGCUGCAGCCUGGACAGAGACACCAGCUCUCAUCUUACAAACCAAACUGGUGUGACCACUUUGUCCACAAACGCAGCGACGUCAUCCACGAUUGCAGAGACAUGGUCCAUGAUCGGAGAGACACUGUUGAGGAUGAGAGAGACAUUGUCCAUGACUCGUAGAGACCUGCGCGAGAAUCUGCGGUCCCCAAUUCAGCGGCAUCGGCCGCAAUCAGAGAGACAUCGUCCACCAUUGUUGAGUGUCUUCAUACAAUGAAGAAGUUCUUUGAGACCAGGACAGAGGCCUCCAGGUGUCACCACGUUGUCCGCAACAUUGUCCAUGAUCUCAGAGACACGGUCCAUGAUCGGAGAGACAUUGUUGAGGAUGAGGGAGACAUCGUCCACGAUCAAAGACAUUGUCCACAAUCGCAGAGACCUUGUCAAAGAUGAGAGAGACGUUGUCCAUGAUCAGAGACAUUGCCCAUGCUUCGUAGAGACCUUGCGAUAGAAUCGGCGGAGACGGGGGUCACCGAUUUGAAGGCAUUGCCCGCGAUCAUGGAGACAUUGUCGAUGAUCACUGAGACAGCGUCUAUGAUCUCAGAGACAUCGUCCACGAUCACAAAGACAUAGUCCAUGAUCGCAGAGACAUUGUCCAUAAUCUCAGAGACAUUGUCCGCGAUCACAGAGACGUAGUCCACGAUCACAGAGACUCUUCGUACAAUGAAGAAGUUCUUUGAGACCAGGACAGAGGCCUCCAGGUGUCACCACGUUGUCCGCAACAUUGUCCAUGAUCUCAGAGACACGGUCCAUGAUCGGAGAGACAUUGUUGAGGAUGAGGGAGACAUCGUCCACGAUCAAAGACAUUGUCCACAAUCGCAGAGACCUUGUCAAAGAUGAGAGAGACGUUGUCCAUGAUCAGAGACAUUGCCCAUGCUUCGUAGAGACCUUGCGAUAGAAUCGGCGGAGACGGGGGUCACCGAUUUGAAGGCAUUGCCCGCGAUCAUGGAGACAUUGUCGAUGAUCACUGAGACAGCGUCUAUGAUCUCAGAGACAUCGUCCACGAUCACAAAGACAUAGUCCAUGAUCGCAGAGACAUUGUCCAUAAUCUCAGAGACACUGUCCGCGAUCACAGAGACGUAGUCCACGAUCACAGAGACUCUUCGUACAAUGAAGAAGUUCUUUGAGACCAGGACAGAGGCCUCCAGCUCCUUUCACAAAAACAACAGGAUCCACCAAUAGCGAAG